RNAcentral lists this transfer RNA (88 nucleotides) under Streptomyces sp. S4.7. RNAcentral describes it as "tRNA-Arg". The record is from RNAcentral. Lineage: Bacteria; Bacillati; Actinomycetota; Actinomycetes; Kitasatosporales; Streptomycetaceae.
CCCGGUCGCGGCGUGCGGCGCGGUACAGGGCCCGCGACGCCCCGGGAAUGGCGAACUGUGCCCGCAGGUCCGGUCCGCGGGCCGGGGC